RNAcentral lists this long non-coding RNA (3423 nucleotides) under Felis catus (domestic cat). Its description in RNAcentral is "lncRNA (ENSFCAG00000041825.2)". Lineage: Eukaryota; Metazoa; Chordata; Mammalia; Carnivora; Felidae. The record is from RNAcentral.
CGAGCACGUGGUGUGCUCCGCGCCGUCCGGGCCACCUCCGCCCGCUGUGGGCGCGCGAGCGGCCCGGCGGCGGGUGCGGGCCCGGCGGCCGCGGGCUGCCCGACAACCUGUCGACACCGGCUCGCAGCUGUCGGACCCUGGGCUCUGCUGUUUUCCAAGCCGAGCUGUGACUGCUCUUUCAGGAAGACGUCUCGGCGCCUGAUUCUCCGCCGUUGGGGCGGCGGGGCCGGGGCUGGGCGGGUGACAGCCGGUGGGGGGGGGGUGGAGGGGGACGGCCCUCUCCUCCCCACCCCCGCCCCCAAGGCCGGCGCUGCCUUGGCCUCCCCCGGACCCCUGGGCAGAAGUGCACCCCGGUGCCCGGGCUGCGCCACCGAGCCUGGCGUGGCGUGACACCCGCGUGGCCCCCGCCCGGCAGUGACCGGCCUCGCUGCACCUGGAGAAGCGGGAAGCGGCCGAGCUCUGCGGGCUUCUCCGUUCGUGAAAACUUUGAGAAAGGGCAGCUGAGAAGCCAGUUCAAGGGGACAAACAGAUGCCAUCCACAGUGACAGGACCCAGGAAGCCGCCCCGCUCGGCGACGGCGAGGCGAGUGGCAAGCAGUCCCAGGCAGCGGCCGAGAAGCGCCCAGGACCGCAGGGCCGUAACCGGGUGCCCUUGGGCGCCAGGCGGGGACCGGAGCGGGGCGGCUGCGGCGAUCCCCGUGCCCUGGGGGCCUGGCCUGCUCUCUGCUGCCGCGUCAGGGCCAGGCCCGCGCCGGGUCAAGAGCGGCACCUGUGAGCGCCCCGAAAGCGAGGGCCUGGGGACCUCGCUGCGGAUGCGCUGCGGUGGGACCAGAGCGGGGCUGGCGGGAGGCGACUCCAGGAAAACCCGGGAAAGAAAACACCCGGAAGGCGCCCCGGGAUGGUCUGAAGCUCGCAGCAGUGCCCGCAGAGCAGGUGCCGGGAUGCAGCCGGGGCUCGGGUCCCGGACUGUGGCGGCGGGAGACCAGCGAGACCAGCGGCCCAGCGCGCGGAGCUCCGGGACCGGCGGCAGGAGGAGAAGAAGGGCCCGCAGUCACCUGGCCUGGCGUGCGAUGUCGCCAUCCCCGAGCGUCGGAGGAAGUGAAUUACAUGCGUGUGCACACACGUAAAUAUUUUAUAAGCCUCCCCUUAAUUAACCAAAUCAUUUCCAUUAUGCCUCCAAUGUGAUCAACAGCAGCGGUGUGAGGGUUUUCAGGGCUUAUAAUUCGAUGUCACCAGACGGUCGCUCGGGGGCAGAGGUACAAUCGCGGAGCCAGCUGCACUUGUAUUUAUUUGUUUUUCUACCGUGUUCCUGUAGGGCUCCAUUAUGCAGUUUUUAAUUAGUUUGUGUUUGUAUUUCACCCGUCCCAAAUCAAUGCCAUCCCGGAGCAAGGCGAUGUAAAUUCUCGCAGUACAGGUGUAGCUGCUGGCUUGGGAACACUCGGAAACACGCGUCUGACAAAUGAGAGCGGGCGCCACACAGCCCACUGUCGGCUCCUGGCAGCCAAGAGGCGCAGACCAAAGCCAGCGGGGACUUGUGCGCCCCUGUGAGCGCCAAGCCCGCGUGCUGGGUUCCUAAUUCCAGUAGAGGGAGCCGCACAGAGCAAGGCGUGGGGGGCAAAGUGACUUUUCAUUUUGCCCGAGUCCUGCGGUCCUUGGGCCUAGUGGGCGAGGCUGGAGCCCGCGUGCAAUUAUCCUAGCUCCCCCCGGAAGAUCACUGUGGCACCUGUCGGGUUCCGUGGAGCCUUUUAACAGGACCCAAGGCAGACAGCCCGAAUUUCUGGAAUCUCCAGGCAUGAGGACCGCCUCCCCACACCCCCGCCCCCUUGUGCUGGCUGUCUCUUCCUUCUUGAAAUGACCUCUGUGGAGUGCCUGUAAAUCUAUCCCUCCAGCCACGGGGGAAUUCUUUUAAAGCUUUCUUUUUUGUCAGGAAUAAGAGAUUGUUCAUCUUUAACUAGACCACAUAGAAAUUAUGAUUCAACAGCAGUGUGUAUUUAAUUAGAGUAAUCUCACUUGAAUUUAAUUACCUAAUGAAUUAUUUGUUUAAAAGGUAGAAUGUCUUGUUUGCCAAGUGCGGUGCAGACCUCCGAUAAGAACUUCUGUUAUAAGGACAUUACAGCUUAAAAGCAGUCAUGUGUUAAGGUUUAUAUUUUAACUCCUUGAGUGUGUAACUGUUAACUGUUAACGUGCUACUCGCACAAAAGCUCUGAUACGGAAGGGUGCCGGGAGAGCACGCACAGAUUCUGUUCUGUGCCCACAUCCUUUUGGAAAUUGGCAUCCUCUACCUUGCCACCUGAGCCUAUUUUUAAACUUCCUGCAUUUUGCUUUCAGUGACACUUUCCUUUUUUCUGCUGCACGAUGACAGCUGUCUAUUAGAGGGCUCAUUUUAUGAUUAGUAUUUGCAAUGAAGGGCACAUCCUUCAGCAAAACUCCCGCCCAGCUCCACUGUGUCCCAGAGGCACCCACAAUAGCAGCAGGAAGCCUUUCUGGGCUCAUCAAACCUCAUGGGAAUGGAAGGUACCAAGGCCCAGACUUUGACCUUAACCCUUCAUUCCUAAACCAUGGAAGAAUCUCCUUGCCUCUUGGUUUCCAAAAGCAAGAGCCCAGAACUCUAGGCCACGCCACCCUUUCUGGGAGGCUCACAAGUUGACUCGUCUCUCGGUAAUGCUAACGAUUUUUGCAGCUAAUGCCAAGUUCGAAAUCCCAGCCAAGGGAGGAGGGUGACGUGCUGGAAGUCUAACAUGAUUUCUGUGUUUUUCUGUGGCUAAGUGACUACAGGAGCAGACUGCUUCUCCUCCUCUAUCCCGUGUGAUGGACAGAAUCGUCUGUCCCUGUGUGAUGGAAUUUCAGCAGAGGAAUGAAUGGAUAGGGUGAGGGAGGCAGCAGGAAAUGUUUCGCCCACUCACUGAAGAGAGACCAGGAAAUAAGAACGCCUGAAAUCUGCUGGAUUGAAUUCCACUGUCAUUUUCAUUAAUAUUUCAUCAAUCAAAUAAUUUACUUUAAUUGCAGAUUCGGGCACUAUUAUCACAUAAAUAUUAAAUAGUAUUAAUAUAGUGUCCAUCUAAGUAAGAAUGAGCUUAUAAGAAAGUACAACACGUUGAUAAGAAUUGUGAAUUUCUUGUUUCUUUCCUGUAUCCCUGAUGUGUAUCAUAACUGUGCAUUUUGCAGCUGGGUGUCCCAACAACCAAUAGCGGUUAAAUUGUAAUAUAAAUUUGGGACUCCUGCGUGGCUCAGUCGAUGAAGCGUCCGACCCUGGCUCAGGUCAUGAUCUCAAGGUUCGUGAGUUUGAGCCCCGCGUCGGGCUCUGUGCUGACAGCUCAGAGCCUGGAGCCUGCUUCGGAUUCUGUGUCCCCCUCUCUGUCUGCCCCUCCCUCACUCGCACUCUGUCCCUCUCUGUCUCUCAAAAAUAAACAUUAAAAAAAUUACA